GAUGAAGAACGCAGCGAAAUGAGAUAAGUAAUGUGAAUUGCAGAAUUCAGUGAGUCAUCGAAUCUUUGAACGCACAUUGCGCCCUCUGGUAUUCCGGAGGGCAUGCCUGUCUGAGCGUCAUUGUCAACCCUCAAGCUCAGCUUGCUGUUGGGUCCCCGUCGUUGCUUUAACGGCGGACCCGAAAGGUAAUGGCAGAGUCCGUGAGACCCUAGACGCAGCGAGCUUCUAGCACGCGUCUGGACGUUUUUCGGGCUCGGUCUUAACUAGAUGAUAACUUCCGAUUGACCUCAGAUCAGGUAGGGAUACCCGCUGAACUUAAGCAUAUCAAUAAGCGGAGGA
Molecule: unclassified non-coding RNA, 339 nt
Filed under: soil metagenome
Description: partial contains 5.8S ribosomal RNA, internal transcribed spacer 2, and large subunit ribosomal RNA
Rfam family: 5.8S ribosomal RNA (bases 1-120)
Source: RNAcentral